Molecule: ribosomal RNA, 211 nt
Filed under: uncultured bacterium
Lineage: Bacteria
Description: partial 16S ribosomal RNA
Rfam family: Bacterial small subunit ribosomal RNA
Source: RNAcentral
AGUUCGGACUGUAGGCUGCAACUCGCCUACACGAAGUUGGAAUUGCUAGUAAUCGUGGAUCAGCAUGCCACGGUGAAUACGUUCCCGGGUCUUGUACACACCGCCCGUCACACCAUGGGAGCUGGUAACACCCGAAGUCAGUAGUCUAACCGCAAGGAGGACGCUGCCGAAGGUAGGAUUGGCGACUGGGGUGAAGUCGUAACAAGGUACC